Molecule: ribosomal RNA, 485 nt
Filed under: uncultured Agreia sp.
Lineage: Bacteria; Bacillati; Actinomycetota; Actinomycetes; Micrococcales; Microbacteriaceae
Description: bacterial SSU rRNA
Rfam family: Bacterial small subunit ribosomal RNA
Source: RNAcentral
AGAGUUUGUAGUCCUGGCUCAGGACAACGCUGGCGGCGUGCUUAACACAUGCAAGUCGAACGAUGAAGCCCAGCUUGCUGGGUGGAUUAGUGGCGAACGGGUGAGUAACACGUGAGUAACCUGCCCUUGACUCUGGGAUAAGCACUGGAAACGGUGUCUAAUACCGGAUAUUUCAGCUGGCCGCAUGGUCUGGUUGUGGAAAGAAUUUGGUCAAGGAUGGACUCGCGGCCUAUCAGGUUGUUGGUGAGGUAAUGGCUCACCAAGCCUACGACGGGUAGCCGGCCUGAGAGGGUGACCGGCCACACUGGGACUGAGACACGGCCCAGACUCCUACGGGAGGCAGCAGUGGGGAAUAUUGCACAAUGGGCGAAAGCCUGAUGCAGCAACGCCGCGUGAGGGACGACGGCCUUCGGGUUGUAAACCUCUUUUAGUAGGGAAGAAGCGAAAGUGACGGUACCUGCAGAAAAGCACCGGCUAACUACGUG